RNAcentral lists this ribosomal RNA (364 nucleotides) under uncultured bacterium. RNAcentral's name for it is "bacterial SSU rRNA". It matches the Rfam family "Bacterial small subunit ribosomal RNA", at positions 144 to 507 of the family's 1533-position model. The record is from RNAcentral.
UAACGUCGAGAAAUCGGCGCUAAUACCUCAUAAUGCAGCGGAUCCGCAUGGAUAUGUUGUUAAAGGUUUACCGCCUUGGGAUAGGCUUGCGUCUGAUUAGCUAGUUGGUGUGGUAAUGGCACACCAAGGCUACGAUCAGUAACUGGUCUGAGAGGAUGAUCAGUCACACUGGAACUGAGACACGGUCCAGACUCCUACGGGAGGCAGCAGUGAGGAAUAUUGGGCAAUGCACGAAAGUGUGACCCAGCAACGCCGCGUGGAGGAUGAAGGUAUUCUAUAUCGUAAACUCCUGUGAGAGCAGACGAAAGACAGAUUAUUAAUUUGGAUGACUGUAUGCUCAGAGGAAGCCCCGGCUAACUACGUG